UAACACGUAUCCAACCUGCCGAUUAUUCCGGGAUAGCCUUUCGAAAGAAAGAUUAAUACUGGAUAGCAUAACGAGAAGGCAUCUUCUUGUUAUUAAAGAAUUUCGAUAAUCGAUGGGGAUGCGUUCCAUUAGUUUGUUGGCGGGGUAACGGCCCACCAAGACAUCGAUGGAUAGGGGUUCUGAGAGGAAGGUCCCCCACAUUGGAACUGAGACACGGUCCAAACUCCUACGGGAGGCAGCAGUGAGGAAUAUUGGUCAAUGGACGAGAGUCUGAACCAGCCAAGUAGCGUGAAGGAUGACUGCCCUAUGGGUUGUAAACUUCUUUUAUAUGGGAAUAAAGUGAGCCACGUGUGGCUUUUUGUAUGUACCAUACGAAUAAGGAUCGGCUAACUCCGUGCCAGCAGCCGCGGUAAUACGGAGGAUCCGAGCGUUAUCCGGAUUUAUUGGGUUUAAAGGGAGCGUAGGCGGAUUAUUAAGUCAGUUGUGAAAGUUUGCGGCUCAACCGUAAAAUUGCAGUUGAUACUGGUAGUCUUGAGUGCAGCAGAGGUAGGCGGAAUUCGUGGUGUAGCGGUGAAAUGCUUAGAUAUCACGAAGAACUCCGAUUGCGAAGGCAGCUUACUGAACUGUAACUGACGCUGAUGCUCGAAAGUGUGGGUAUCAAACAGGAUUAGAUACCCUGGUAGUCCACACAGUAAACGAUGAAUACUCGCUGU
RNAcentral lists this ribosomal RNA (713 nucleotides) under uncultured bacterium. RNAcentral describes it as "bacterial SSU rRNA". It matches the Rfam family "Bacterial small subunit ribosomal RNA", at positions 111 to 823 of the family's 1533-position model. The record is from RNAcentral.